This 353-nucleotide long non-coding RNA is filed under the name Parus major (Great Tit). Its description in RNAcentral is "lncRNA (ENSPMJG00000018158.1)". The record is from RNAcentral. Lineage: Eukaryota; Metazoa; Chordata; Aves; Passeriformes; Paridae.
AAAAAACCCAUCAAACUUCAAUGGAGCUAUCGCAGGAAUUUAUUUCUGGUUAGUGUGUUUUUGAAGAAAUGAUGACCAAGGCUCGCUCAGGAAGAUGUGUCAUGUGUUUCAUGUCUCUCCAAUGACUGAUUGACAGGAAGGUUCCACGUCAUCCUGGCUGAUAAGUGCUUUCCUGGCUACAAAAGUUCCAAACAGACAGUUUAGGAGUUGCUGGACUGCAGUGUUUGUGUUUACAAGAGAACAUACCACUGUCUGAUGAAGAUAUACACAGCUAGAGGUGAUUUGCCAGAGUUAAUCCACAGAAUCCAUGUGCACACAAGAAAUUACCUGCCCCAGGACUUCUGAAAUAGCAG